AUCCUUUCGGUUCAUGCAAAUGAUGAAUGGGAACUUGACAGAGUCUCUGUGAGAUGUACAGCCUUUUCUUGUUUAAGCAAUGCACAUUACCCUUCUGAUC
Molecule: small nucleolar RNA, 100 nt
Organism: Conger conger (European conger)
Lineage: Eukaryota; Metazoa; Chordata; Actinopteri; Anguilliformes; Congridae
Product: small nucleolar RNA U13
Exons: 1
Source: RefSeq, a predicted model, not a curated record